GGAUAUCCUGCUAGAUAAUAGCAUAGCUAUUGUUUCUAAUUGCUUAGGUGGGUGGGGAAACUGCUUUUUGGUACACAGAAAUUGCCCCCAAAAGAUGGGCUUAUACUUUGGAUGCCAGUUGCAAAAAGGAGAUAUCACUCCAAGUUUCUCUACCUGUCCCCACUAUCACUUCAGAAGUACUGGUGGCCUCCACCUCUUCAUUAGCAUGAUGUUCUUAGAUAGGGGUUGCCUACAGAUGAGUAGUUGAGAGUGAACUUCCAUCAUGUCCAUCAUUUGGGCAGUUUUCUCUGGAAGUCGUGACAAAUUCGUGCUGCCUUUUCUGAUGAGCUCAAGAGCAACCCCAAAGGCUGUCCUUGUAGUGGGAGGUCGAGUUCUUUUUAAAAAAGCAAACCAACCAUAUGUGGACACCAAUAUAUCUGUGCUGAGACUAGUCCUUUACUAUCUUGAGGUCUCCUACAAGUGUGGGUGGGAUGAUCUACAAUAUAAGAAUUAUCAGAAGGUAAAUGGUGAUUUUAGCCAAGAUGCUCGAGCAGAGACACCAGCCUGGCUCUCCUCAGAGACAAAAGGAUUCUCUGCAUGUCUUACAUAAUAUGGGAGAAGUAAAAGCAUCAUGUUUUUAAUGAUAUUAAAAGUGCCAGGGAAAUGCAUGAUUGUCUAGAUUUAAAGAUGCUGUAAUACAGCUUUCAUAUUUGCUUUUUCCUAUGGAAAGUUGUAAUUUCAUGCCAAAUUUUAAUUUAUUUCUCUCUGGCACAUGAAAAACAUUCUGUUUAAUUACAUCUAAAUUUGAUAGGAUACAUCUUUGAAAAUGAACCUUGACUUCUGAAAACUUGUAAUUUAUACCAUUUCUAAUUACACAAAUUGAAAACUUGUUUAAAGUCUCAUAGAGAGGAACCAAUCACUGACUUUUAUUUGUCAUUUUCUGAAUUGUGUUUAAUUUCUGAAAGUGCCUUCAAGUGCAAGUAAAAAAAAUCAGCCUCAAGCUGUUAGCAUGAGUACCCUUCCCCCCAAAUUAUCAUUCUUUUGAGAUUUUCAGAAAGAUGUGAUAACUUUUGAAAAAUAAAUAUUUCUCCUUUUUUUUUUUUUUUUUUACUACAGUGAGAUCAUCUCUUAUUUUUGCUGUUUUGUGUAACCCCACACAGAUGGUACAGAUACUGGGACUAAAUGGAUGAAGAGGCUGGGGUUGUUAGUUCAGCCAAGAGAGAGGCCGAAUGGCAGGUCAGUCAGGUUUGCAGGCAGGUGUAUCUGCUCAGGAAGCAAUGAUCAUCAGGUGCAAGGGAUAUAGCUAAACCUACCAGCCAUUAAGUGAGUUGGGGAUUCUCAACGUCUCUUAUGCUAGUAGUGUUUCUCUUUAGGGUAUACCAGCUGGGCCUUUUGCCAUGGAUUUGGGCUUAUCCCCCUAUGGUAUUUAGGGCAAGCAGGAAGAGAGAGAACUUAUAUCUCUACAGUUACUGCUCCGGCACCUCUCAGCCUCCACAGGGACAUAAUGGCACACUAAGCCUUCAGAGGUACUGUAAAAUUACUGUGAAGCAUAACUGCAGUCUUUUGACAGACUCUUUCUAUUGCUGGCAGUUGUCUUCAUUUGUUCCUAUUACUGUGUCAGUUAUUCAUGUUUUUUUUCUUGUCUUGAAGUGAUUUUUGUUUUUUCUUUUUUUUUUUUUUUUCUCCUUCCCUCUAACCUGACUUUAUGUAUGGAAAGAGAGGGUAAGGUGGCAGUUUAUCAGGUAAUGUUUUUAGGAUGUGAUACUGGGGGUCCCUACCCAGGAGGGGCAGCAUAUUCUUGCUAUCCUUACCCUGCAUGCACUUAACAGGAUUGGAGGGACCAAAUGAGUUAAGUACCAAUUCCUCAGAAAAUGAGCAAAACAAAAUGGGAGUGCUGAAUGCUGUGAAGGCAGUUGGUUUGAGUAAUCCUUGUUUGUUGAAAGAGAGGCUUAAAGGUGUAUUUAGAGUGAACUUUUAGGUCAAUUGCCCUGUGGCAGAACUUGGUAAUGUUUUUCUAAGUGUCCUUCAACAUAGAGAGAAAAAGCUGGUGUUAGCAUCAGCUAACAUGAGUCUAUACUGCAUCAGCAAGAGUCAACGGAUUAAUCCUUGAAACUUCUUUCUCUUCUUCAUCCUAAGUAUCUUCCCACUGCCUUGGAGCAUAGGGCAGGAGGGACAACUGUAUCAAUGCCUGAAGCAGUUCACAAGUUUCAAGUCCCAGGGUAACUUUGUAUAGCAAUUUAAUUCCAAGUGAAAUGGAGAGCAUCUAGUUCAGGUCUACAAAGAGUUACAGUGUGCUCCCACGUAAGCUUUGGGGCCUAUAGAACAAAAGGCAAGAAUUUUCAGAGAUUUCAAGAAUGUAUGGGGGAAAGCUCAUAGAAGUGAAAGAGUAAAAAUAUGUAUUAAUAAAGCCAGCAUAGGUAUUGAAGCUCUUGCUGAUACCUUUGCAAAGGAACGUUUCAUGCAGUCUGCUUUGAACAAGAGUCCGAAUACCUGAGUCUUGAUGCACGGGCUCAUUGUAUAGCUGAGUGCCCAAGAACAGGAGCCACAAAACCGUAAGAAGGCAGCCUAAGCAAGGCUCAGGAAUGCUGAGGAAAGCCUCACAGCUAAAUGGUUUUCUCUGCUGUCAUAGUGUACAAUAUUUCUCCUCUGCUGCAACUGUAAAAAAAGAGAAAUCCCACUGGGAACAAUAAGAAUGUGCAUGAAAUGGUAAUCAAAAUAAUAAUUUAAAUAAUUUUGAGCAUUAAUUUGGUUACAGUAGCAUCUGCAUUCACUGUAGAUCUUUUUAGUUCCAGAUUUCAGCAGGCUCUGUCCAAGUCUGAAUUUUCAUGACUGACCAUGCUUAAACCCUAGCUUAAAUGUUACAUGGCUCUUCCACUAAUGUUAGAAAAGCUGUAAGCAUCCUUAUCAUGAAAACCAUUCUUGAACAAUUCAAGGAACUGUCAGUCUCUUGAUAGCAAUGGUGUUAUCUUUGCUGUUGAUCGAGAUGUGUGAUUGUCAGUCACAUAAUAGGGUUUUUGUGUGCUACAGCUAUUGUUGUGCACAGACCUGAUUGAACUAAAGCCGAGAUCAGUGGUUUCAGUGGAAAUAACUGAUUCUAUGAAUUUGGCACAAAAUAUUUUCCUGAAACAUGGUACGUACUGUAACUUACUUUAAGAUUUUAGUAUGUCUACAUACCUUUUCCAAGGUUAUAUUGUGAAUUUACUACAAUCCUUAUGAGUAGGGCAAUGGGAGGUGAUUUUAUGUGAGAGUUUAUUUCGGUGCUAAUGCCUGAGGCGAUGCACAGCAAGGAGCAAAUUGUCUUGCGCUCAAGGUCAUGUGUCAGAUGCAUCCUUAGGUGUGCUGCAGUGCAAGAGGAAGUGUAAUUCCUCUCUCUCUGAAAAGACACUUUCUGGCAGGAAGACCCAUCAUGGUGGUGCUCUUGUUUCUUUUGCCGGAGGACUCUGUAUGCCCCCUGAGCUUGUACUGUGCUCCUGCCCAGGUGGCCUGUAAGGUGCGCUGCCCUCCUCAUUUUCCAGUCAAAAUAACUCCACAUUGAAGCAAUCAAGUUACCACUUGGCUAAAAAAAGGAAUAAUGUAUAUAUUUUUCCUCUUUCCUAAGGAUCUCCUACACAUGUCUUCUAGCUCAGCCUAACACUGCCACUUGCUUGUGGUCAUCGGGUAGGCACGUUCUGAAAGUACAGUUUGGUAUCCGAUAGCUGCUUUUCUUAAUUUUUCUCCUCAUCAAUGAAAUAGGUUUUUUCGCUUUAAUUAUAUAGGGAAAAAAUAGGAACUAACAUAUUUUAGUUCAAGGAAGAUUUUGUUUUUCUGAUGUUUGGGCUCUUCCAGCAUUUUUGUGAGCAGCUACUGCUUGGGAUUCAUUCUUAGCUUGCUUAAGUAAGCUGUAAUGAACACUAGAUUUAAAUUAAAGAACCCUAGUCUCCCUGCUUAAUCCUUCUUUGAGAACAUGUUCAGUUUUCAUUUGCUUGCUUGUUCAGGGUUUUGGUUUGGUUUUUUUUUUUUUUUUUUCCCAAUAUGGAUAACCAAAAAAGUGCUAAACAUCAUUUGCAGAAGUGGAAAACUCUGCUCUGUAAGUCACCCACCUAACUGGGAAAGACUGGAGGGAUUAGGGGCACGACAUGGCUUGAAUAGGGCUGGGGUUGUGUUGCAUAUGUGCAACGGUUGAAUCCUCUGGACUUUCACUUCUGAAAGCCUAGUUUUGCUCAAUGAAAGUAGGGGGGUUUUGUUUGUUUUUAAUGAGUAAUUAACAUUCUUGUGCUAUAAUUUCACUCCUGCCAACUCUUCAACCCGUGAGUAAUCUUAAAUGUGUGAAAUCUAAGCAUACAGAUUUAUAAGCCUGUUUUCCAGCAUUCAGUUACCGAUGCUGUUAGAUUAACACAACGCCGUUGCAAAAGUACAUGUUGCAGUGCUGUCACAGUGACCAUUGCCUGGGGACAGAGGCUUGAGAGGCUAGAGCAAAGCACUUGUUCUGUAGUUCAUUAGCUGUAAAACAGUUGUUACCAUUUUGAGCAAAUAAACUUAAAAUACCACACCAGCUUCUCCUUGUUUUUUCACUGCCUCUUUAUAUUUCAUAGUUUAAACUGAAGUGCAAGAGUUACAUACUGAGGAGCUUGUCACUGAUAACUGUAUCCAUGUUUUGGGGCGCUGAGACCUGAAACACUGGUGCAUGUUUCAGAUAGCUAUUGGUGCUCUGGUUGCUCUUCUGAACAGAUGGGUUGUAGUAGAGGAUACAAUUGAAAUUUGAGUGGAGUAAAGGGGGCCUCAAGAUCUGCCUGGUUGUAUAUUCUGAUCAGAAACAAGUAGGCUGUGUUUAGAUUUUGUGAUAAGCUGCACCUCCUCUACCCCUUACAUGUUUGUGGUGAUAUCAAGAAUUGAAUUGGAUGCAUUUCCCAGAGUGUUACUAAUUCAAACAUACACAUAUAUUUUUAUUAAAUAAGGAGAAAGUAUGGCAAAACUAAGUACAAAAAGAAAA
Molecule: long non-coding RNA, 4948 nt
Filed under: Strigops habroptila (Kakapo)
Lineage: Eukaryota; Metazoa; Chordata; Aves; Psittaciformes; Psittacidae
Description: lncRNA (ENSSHBG00005009203.1)
Source: RNAcentral